GACGAACCGUCCAAACGUUAUUCGGAUUCACUGGGCUUAAAGGGUGCGUAGGCGGCUCAGAAAGUAGGGUGUGAAAGCCCUCGGCUCAACCGAGGAAUUGCGCUCUAAACUACUGGGCUUGAGGAACGCAGAGGUAAGCGGAACUUACGGUGGAGCGGUGAAAUGCGUAGAUAUCUGGAGGAACACCGGUGGCGAAGGCGGCAUCCUGGACCAAUUCUGACGCUGAGGAGCGAAAGCCAGGGGAGCAAACGGG
This 253-nucleotide ribosomal RNA is filed under the name uncultured bacterium. RNAcentral describes it as "partial 16S ribosomal RNA". It matches the Rfam family "Bacterial small subunit ribosomal RNA", at positions 524 to 776 of the family's 1533-position model. The record is from RNAcentral.